CCCGCCUGGCCUACGGCCGUCCCCUGCGCACCCGCACGGCCGCCCCGGCCCGGGGCCGGGCUAGGAGGGGUUCGAGGUGGGGCGCGCCGUCUCCCGACAGGUGCGGUUAGGAGUCCUUUGGAGACGCCGAUUUCGGACUGGGGCACGGACUGAGCGCCUGCAUAGCCUGACUUGGGGGCGGCCUUGGGUGUCGGAAGCCGCCCGCCCUUCACCCCACCUGUGUGACCCUCUCACCUCAGCAUCUCCAGCAGUCCCCUUGUGGUUGCUGGGUCCUAAUUGACUCUCGCCCUUGGGUCACCAGCAGCCACUUGCAGUUUGGGAAGCUGGGGGAGGGUCUUGAGACAGGGGGGUAUCCGCGGGGAAGUGGAGGCAGAGGAAUUGACCGCACACCUUCAGCUGCCGAGAAGAGGGUCCGCUGAGGACGAGAGUCUGCAGAAAGAUGUUCUAAAAGAAUGGAAAGUGUUCAGACAUACUGCAAAUGCCACGGGACUUCUUGGGAUAACCUCAGAUGAGAUGUCAGCAUCUGUGGAGCCGUUUUCACUGACGUUCCUUCUGGAAUGCGGCAGAAGGGAGAUAGAGUGUCACUGUACCACUCUCGGUAGAGUGCUGUGGCGUCACAAGGCUCACAGCAACCUCCAGCUCUUGGACUUCCACGAUUCUCCUGCCUUAGCCUCCCUGCUUCAGCCUCCUGAGCAGCUGGGACUACAGGCACCCGCCACAACGCCCAGCUAUUUUUUUGUUGCAGUUUGCCCGGGGCUGGGUUUGAACCUGCCAUCCUCGGUAUAUGGGGCCGGCACCCUAUUCACUGAGCCACAGGCACCACCCUAAAAUUCCUAAUUUUCAUAUGAAGAGAUCAGCAAUCAGGAAAAUAGGCCACAUUAUUAUGAUUUUGUAAGUUACUGAGAAGUUAAAAAGCCUAUGGAACAUUUCAUGAUAUUUAGGGAAAAUGGUUCUAUAUGAAGUUAUUUAAAUAAAACAAAGUUAAGUAAAAGAAAACCAGAAAGAAUGCAGCCCUGAGCCAGGAAUCUCAUGUUUGAAUAUCAUUUCUGUAACCAACCAGAUCACUCCAACCCUUUGAUUCUUACAGAAUGAACACAGAUAUAAUAAUUAUACAAAUCUAUAGCGCUGGGCAUGGAGACUCAACCUGUAAUCCUAACACUCUGGGAAGCUGAGUUUGCUUGGUUUGCUUGAGCUCAGGAGUUUGAGAUCAUCCUGAGCAAGAGCGAAACCCCAUCUAUAAAAAAAAUAGCUGGGUGUUGUGGUGGGUUCCAGUAGUCCCAGCUACUGAGGAGGCUGAGGCAAGAGAA
This is a long non-coding RNA of Nycticebus coucang (slow loris), 1307 nucleotides long. RefSeq lists it as uncharacterized. The record is from RefSeq and is a predicted model, not a curated record. Lineage: Eukaryota; Metazoa; Chordata; Mammalia; Primates; Lorisidae. The transcript is spliced from 3 exons.